Molecule: ribosomal RNA, 253 nt
Filed under: uncultured bacterium
Lineage: Bacteria
Description: partial 16S ribosomal RNA
Rfam family: Bacterial small subunit ribosomal RNA
Source: RNAcentral
UACAGAGGGUGCAAGCGUUAAUCGGAAUUACUGGGCGUAAAGCGCACGUAGGCGGUUUUUUAAGUCAGAUGUGAAAGCCCCGGGCUCAACUUGGGAAUUGCAUUUGAAACUGGAAAGCUAGAGUGUGUGAGAGGGGGGUAGAAUUCCAAGUGUAGCGGUGAAAUGCGUAGAGAUUUGGAGGAAUACCAGUGGCGAAGGCGGCCCCCUGGCACAACACUGACGCUCAGGUGCGAAAGCGUGGGGAGCAAACAGG